UACGGAGGGUGCAAGCGUUAUCCGGAAUUAUUGGGCGUAAAGAGCUCGUAGGCAGUUUGUCGCGUCUGCCGUGAAAGUCCGGGGCUCAACUCCGGAUCUGCGGUGGGUACGGGCAGACUAGAGUGAUGUAGGGGAGACUGGAAUUCCUGGUGUAGCGGUGAAAUGCGCAGAUAUCAGGAGGAACACCGAUGGCGAAGGCAGGUCUCUGGGCUGUAACUGACGCUGAGGAGCGAAAGCAUGGGGAGCGAACAGG
This 253-nucleotide ribosomal RNA is filed under the name uncultured bacterium. Its description in RNAcentral is "partial 16S ribosomal RNA". It matches the Rfam family "Bacterial small subunit ribosomal RNA", at positions 524 to 776 of the family's 1533-position model. The record is from RNAcentral.